CCAUAUUUGGAGCAUAAAAUUUUGUCUGUCCUGCACUGUAGUGAUACAAUGGAGAUUCCAAAUCACUGGGAGGGGAAAUGUAAAUUGACCAGAAGAAAAAUACAAGAGUUUUGCUGUACCAUAAAAGAUUUCUUUUUCCCAGAAUCAAUUACUUUGUGUGAAUACAGACCCAGAAUUACAUUAGGGGCAAAAAAUUGGAAAAUGAGGGGGUAUCCCUCACCUGGUGAAUGGCUGAACAAAUUGUGGUAUCUGAUGGUGAUGGAAUACUAUUGUGCUGAAAGGAAUGAUGAAAUGGAGUAAUUCCAUGUGAACUGGAACAACCUCAAGGAACUUAUACAGAGUGAAAGGAAAGGAACCAGGAAAACAUUGUAUACAGAAAUUGAAACAUUUUGUCACAAUCAAAUGUAAUGGACAUAUUUCCUAGUAGCAAUGCAAUGACCAAGAACAAUCCUGAGGGACCUAUGAGAAAGAACACUAUCCACAUUCAGAGGAAGAACUGUGGGAAUAGAAAUGCAGAAGAAAAACAUAUGAUCACGUGGUUUAAUGGAGACAUGAUUAGGGAUAUUGACUUUAAAUGAUCACUCUAUUACAAAUAUUAAUAAUAUGGAAAUGGGUUUUGAACAAUGAUACGUGUAUAACCCAGUGGAACAGCUUGUCAGCUCCAGGAGAGGAGAGAGAUGAUGGGAGCAAAAGAAUGUGAAUCCUGUUACUAUGGAAAACUAUUCUUAAUUAAUUAAUUAAUUAAAAGAAUGUAUAAAAGAAAUAAGGGUUGGGUAGAUGAGGACAAUAUGGUCCAGGUCCUGGUUCUAAUUCCUACACUGACCAUCUAUGGAAUCCAGGCUUCUCAAUUUCUUCAUAUGCAAAACAAAGAAUUUGGAUUGUAUAUUUGCUAUUGUCCCUUUUUCUUCUAAAAUCCAAUUCCACAUAGGAUUAUGAAUGUCAUCGUCAUCAUCACCAUCACCAGGAAAGAGAAGGUAAUCCUUGGGUGGAAAACAAAGAAAGGAGGGUAGGAGUUAGGAGGAAGGAUGCAAAAGGAAAACUUUAUCUUCUCUAUUUGGCCUAGAGCAAGCUCUGCAUAACUUAAUUAAAAGGUUAUGCUUAUCUCUGAAUUAAGGAAUUACCAUGAUAUGUGUUUUCUAAAUACACAAAGAUAAUAAUGAUAAAACCUCAGAUCUUGUUUAGUUUCUUCCUUCCAAAGAACUUAUGAACCAUGAAGUGUGCCAUACACCUUGAGGGUACUACACAACUAAUUGAUGAAGAUAGAUGAUGAAGAUUAAUCCUUAUACUAAGUUAAUGAGAUUAAUAAGUGUAAAUGUUACUAUGCCCAUUGUGUAGAUGAGGAAAAACAUUACACAUUAAAAAGAUCAGGCAACUGGAGAAAAAAACCAAACAAUUUAGAGCUAGAACCCAGAGUUUGACUGAAGGAAAACAAGACUUAGAGGUAGGAAACAUGGGUUUGAGUUCUAGCUCAGAUAUAUGCUAGGUGUAUGACAAGUUACUUAUCUCUGAGGCUGUUUACUCAUUUACAAAAUAGAAAUAAUAUCUAAUGAAGUUGUGAGGAAUAUAUUUCUUACAGAACUCCUUGGGGUUUUAUAUAAAAAUGAGCCAUUAUUAUGUACCAAUAAUACAUUGCUUGAAUCUUUAGGACCUUGAUGACAGAUUCAUUACUUUUUUUACAGAUAUAGCAUAUAUAGAUAUAGAUAUGUAGACAUAUAUGGCACAGUAUCUAAGAUAGUAUCUGUAGGAUAGCUACAGCAAACAUAAUGUAGCAUAUACUUUGAGAUUAUAGUAUACUCUUUGACAAAAAUAUUGUUCAACAAUCUAUUAUCAAAUCUUUCUUUCAUGAAGAAGGUAUAUAAAAUUUCAAGACCAACACUGCUGCCAAACAAAAACAAAUGAAUAAAUAAAUUGCUACAGUUAUAUGCUGAUUUCCU
Long non-coding RNA from Monodelphis domestica (gray short-tailed opossum), 1934 nucleotides. NCBI's taxonomy places the organism in Eukaryota, Metazoa, Chordata, Mammalia, Didelphimorphia, Didelphidae. The record is from Ensembl.